UUUCAUCCUCCGAUGGUAAUGUUUUGGGGGAAAGUAUUUUACUUGGAAUUCAUUGCAGGAGUAGUUGAUAUUUGUGGUCUCUGAGGCCUCUAGCUCUUUCAGCUCGGUGUAUGUGUUUCUCUAUAUGAUUCAGUUCCCUCUCAGACACUAGAUAUUCCCAUUUGUUAGCAUCUUGUGAUUUUUCUUUUUGUGAUCUCCUCUUCCUCUAUUUUAAUUUCCCAUUCUGGAAUUGUUUUGUAGUUCUGGUCUCCUUCCAUCAUGAUUUUUUGAUGUCGUUGAUGGCAGUAUGCCUCUGCUUUAGCAAACCAGAAGUCAAAAGACAUGGCCUUAAAUUUAUCAAGUGUUUCAUUCUCCUUUUGAAACUCUUGAGCUAAUAGUUUUCUUACUUCUGAAGAGUGGAUGCCACCUAAACUCUCAUCAAACGGAGUAAUUAGAACUUUUAAAGUUGGAUAUCCUGUGUUUUAGUUCCAUUGUACAGAUCUCAAAGGAGCUAUUAGCCCUGCCUGGUACUCCUACACUCUGCCCCAAUGAGAGUCUCUUAACCAAGUACUGUAGUGAUGUCUUCCUCUUCACUGCCCCCACCCGCAGUGUUCCCUCUUAGGUGAGGACUUUGCCUUAGACAUCCUUGAGAAAACAGGAGCACCCUCCUCUUCCCACUGUCAGACUGGCCUUCUGACUUUGCAGUAGAAACAUUACCCUGUGCUUAUCAAAAGCCAGUUCUUCCACCUGUGCUUGUUAAGCUUCAGGAAUUCCAGUUUUGCAGUUAAUCAAAUUCCCUUUGCUGCAUCCUAAAACCUCCACUCUAAUGAAUCACUCCUAUCAGCAUGAAAAUAUCAGUAUGUAAAAUUCUUCCUUUAGUUCCUCUGGGGCCUUUACCGUUCUUUUCACUCCCUGCUUCACAGUGUACUUUGAAGUAGUUAUCUAUAACCCCUCUAACUGUCCUUCUUCCAUUUUCUCAGUCUACUUCCAUUUGGGUUCCACUGCCCACUACUUCUGUGAGACUGCUCUUAUCUAGGGCAUGAGUGGUUUCCAAUAGAAAGUUCGGUGGUCCUAUUGCUAUUCCUGUCUGUGAGACCUCAGCAGCAUUUAAAAGAGGUGACCACUCUCCUUUUCAAAACUUUUCUGACUUUUUUUUAGCUACUCCUAAGGGUAUGUGACUAAGGUUAUCUUGGACCACUCGGACUAUCCCAGCCAUUUGCUGAGUAUCCUCACAUGACAAUAUCCUGAUUCUUUUCCUCUUAGCCACUUUUUCUCAUGUGCCUUGCUGGGCUGUCUUUUAAACAUAAUGCAGGAAAAUAUAGUGGAGAACAUAGUCACUCGAGAUAGAACAUGGUCACAAUUAGGCUUCCUUGGAUAAGGUGACCUACCAUGUGUCAGGCACUGCUCUAGAGCGGGAAUAGGAAUGAAGGAGACAGAAGAGCUACAAGGGCACUACCCUGCCCACUGCUCUCAACUUUGGAUCUAACCCUUGUUGGGGAAUGGGGACCUACUGCAAUCCGACGGUCUUGAGUAUUUCUAGCCCAGGCCAUUCUAGAAGAUCAAAAAGAGAAAUUAAUGCCAGGAUUUGGAGAAAGACAUCGGGAAACAUGUUACAGAAUGAACUGUGCUAGGUGGUUGACUCAGGACCCACUUUCCACAUGCGGUGCAAGGCAUUUCUCUGGGCCAACAAGAUAGGACUCUAUUUUCUGUCUUUCCCUGAAGCAGGGAAGGAAUGUAGUCUGAUGAAAGUAUGAACUUUGAGGUUGUAACUAUAGGAAAUACCUUUAAUACUGGUAAGGAGAGAAUGAAUUGUUGUUUCAAAUACCACAGACCGCUGCUUUUGAAUGUUGUUAGUGAAAGAACUCAGUUCUGGUGAGAAAAGUUUUCAAAGUUCACUUUAAGUUCAGUUAUGUGUAAAUUAUUAGUAAAU
Molecule: long non-coding RNA, 1909 nt
Filed under: Heterocephalus glaber (naked mole-rat)
Lineage: Eukaryota; Metazoa; Chordata; Mammalia; Rodentia; Bathyergidae
Description: lncRNA (ENSHGLG00000038933.1)
Source: RNAcentral